This 62-nucleotide transfer RNA is filed under the name Hydropsyche fukienensis. RNAcentral's name for it is "tRNA-Ser". The record is from RNAcentral. Lineage: Eukaryota; Metazoa; Arthropoda; Insecta; Trichoptera; Hydropsychidae.
GAAAUAUUAUAAAAUUUAAACUUCUAAUUUAAAUAAAAGUGAUUUAAAUCAUUUAUAUUUCU